This 497-nucleotide ribosomal RNA is filed under the name uncultured bacterium. Its description in RNAcentral is "partial 16S ribosomal RNA". It matches the Rfam family "Bacterial small subunit ribosomal RNA", at positions 28 to 507 of the family's 1533-position model. The record is from RNAcentral.
GAUGAACGCUGGCGGCGUGCCUAAUACAUGCAAGUCGAGCGAACAGGGGAGGUGUUUGCUCCUCUGGCGUCAGCGGCGGACGGGGGAGUCACACGUGGUUAACCUACCUAUAAGACUGGUAUACUUUCAGGAAACCGGUGCUAAGACCGGAGGAUAUCUUGCGGCGCAUGGUUCACUCGUGGAAGACGGUUUUGCUGUCACUUAUAGAUGGAUCCGCGCCGCAUUAGCUAGUUGGUAAGGUAACGGCUUACCAAGGCGGCGAUGCGUAGCCGACCUGAGAGGGUGAUCGGCCACACUGGAACUGAGACACGGUCCAGACUCCUGCGGGAGGCAGCAGUAGGGAAUCUUCCGCAAUGGGCGAAAGCCUGACGGAGCAACGCCGCGGGAGUGAUGAAGGUCUUCGGAUCGUAAAACUCUGUUAUUAGGGGAGAACAAAUGUGUAAGUAACUAGGCACGUCUUGACGGUACCUAAUCAGAAAGCCACGGCUAACUACGUG